GUGGGGAAUAUUGGACAAUGGGCGAAAGCCUGAUCCAGCCAUGCCGCGUGUGUGAAGAAGGUCUUCGGAUUGUAAAGCACUUUAAGUUGGGAGGAAGGGCAGUAAGUUAAUACCUUGCUGUUUUGACGUUACCGACAGAAUAAGCACCGGCUAACUUCGUGCCAGCAGCCGCGGUAAUACGAAGGGUGCAAGCGUUAAUCGGAAUUACUGGGCGUAAAGCGCGCGUAGGUGGUUUUGUAAGUUGGAGGUGAAAUCCCCGGGCUCAACCUGGGAACUGCCUCCAAAACUGCAUGACUAGAGUACGGUAGAGGGUAGUGGAAUUUCCUGUGUAGCGGUGAAAUGCGUAGAUAUAGGAAGGAACACCAGUGGCGAAGGCGACUACCUGGACUGAUACUGACACUGAGGUGCGAAAGCGUGGGGAGCAAACAGGAUUAGAUAACCCAGUAGUCC
RNAcentral lists this ribosomal RNA (450 nucleotides) under uncultured bacterium. Its description in RNAcentral is "bacterial SSU rRNA". It matches the Rfam family "Bacterial small subunit ribosomal RNA", at positions 354 to 796 of the family's 1533-position model. The record is from RNAcentral.